Molecule: ribosomal RNA, 936 nt
Filed under: Acinetobacter sp. CK311
Lineage: Bacteria; Pseudomonadati; Pseudomonadota; Gammaproteobacteria; Moraxellales; Moraxellaceae
Description: bacterial SSU rRNA
Rfam family: Bacterial small subunit ribosomal RNA
Source: RNAcentral
UUUACUGGGCGUAAGCGUGCGUAGGCGGCUGAUUAAGUCGGAUGUGAAAUCCCUGAGCUUAACUUAGGAAUUGCAUUCGAUACUGGUCAGCUAGAGUAUGGGAGAGGAUGGUAGAAUUCCAGGUGUAGCGGUGAAAUGCGUAGAGAUCUGGAGGAAUACCGAUGGCGAAGGCAGCCAUCUGGCCUAAUACUGACGCUGAGGUACGAAAGCAUGGGGAGCAAACAGGAUUAGAUACCCUGGUAGUCCAUGCCGUAAACGAUGUCUACUAGCCGUUGGGGCCUUUGAGGCUUUAGUGGCGCAGCUAACGCGAUAAGUAGACCGCCUGGGGAGUACGGUCGCAAGACUAAAACUCAAAUGAAUUGACGGGGGCCCGCACAAGCGGUGGAGCAUGUGGUUUAAUUCGAUGCAACGCGAAGAACCUUACCUGGCCUUGACAUACUAGAAACUUUCCAGAGAUGGAUUGGUGCCUUCGGGAAUCUAGAUACAGGUGCUGCAUGGCUGUCGUCAGCUCGUGUCGUGAGAUGUUGGGUUAAGUCCCGCAACGAGCGCAACCCUUUUCCUUAUUUGCCAGCGAGUAAUGUCGGGAACUUUAAGGAUACUGCCAGUGACAAACUGGAGGAAGGCGGGGACGACGUCAAGUCAUCAUGGCCCUUACGGCCAGGGCUACACACGUGCUACAAUGGUCGGUACAAAGGGUUGCUACCUAGCGAUAGGAUGCUAAUCUCAAAAAGCCGAUCGUAGUCCGGAUUGGAGUCUGCAACUCGACUCCAUGAAGUCGGAAUCGCUAGUAAUCGCGGAUCAGAAUGCCGCGGUGAAUACGUUCCCGGGCCUUGUACACACCGCCCGUCACACCAUGGGAGUUUGUUGCACCAGAAGUAGGUAGUCUAACCGCAAGGAGGACGCUUACCACGGUGUGGCCGAUGACUGGGGUGAAGU